AGUGAACGCUGGCGGUAGGCCUAACACAUGCAAGUCGAACGGCAGCACAGUAAGAGCUUGCUCUUACGGGUGGCGAGUGGCGGACGGGUGAGGAAUACAUCGGAAUCUACUUUUUCGGGGGGGAUAACGUAGGGAAACUUACGCUAAUACCGCAUACGACCUACGGGUGAAAGCAGGGGAUCUUCGGACCUUGCGCGAGUGAAUGAGCCGAUGUGGGAUUAGCUAGUUGGCGGGGUAAAGGCCCACCAAGGCGACGAUCCGUAGCUGGUCUGAGAGGAUGACCAGCCACACUGGAACUGAGACACGGUCCAGACUCCUACGGGAGGCAGCAGUGGGGAAUAUUGGACAAUGGGCGCAAGCCUGAUCCAGCCAUGCCGCGUGGGUGAAGAAGGCCUUCGGGUUGUAAAGCCCUUUUGUUGGGAAAGAAAAGCAGCAGGUUAAUACCCCGCUGUUCUGACGUUACCCAAAGAAUAAGCACCGGCUAACUUCGUG
Molecule: ribosomal RNA, 492 nt
Filed under: uncultured bacterium
Lineage: Bacteria
Description: partial 16S ribosomal RNA
Rfam family: Bacterial small subunit ribosomal RNA
Source: RNAcentral